Molecule: transfer RNA, 61 nt
Filed under: Echinostoma caproni
Lineage: Eukaryota; Metazoa; Platyhelminthes; Trematoda; Plagiorchiida; Echinostomatidae
Rfam family: tRNA
About the family: Transfer RNA (tRNA) molecules are approximately 80 nucleotides in length. Their secondary structure includes four short double-helical elements and three loops (D, anti-codon, and T loops). Further hydrogen bonds mediate the characteristic L-shaped molecular structure. tRNAs have two regions of fundamental functional importance: the anti-codon, which is responsible for specific mRNA codon recognition, and the 3' end, to which the tRNAs corresponding amino acid is attached (by aminoacyl-tRNA synthetases). tRNAs cope with the degeneracy of the genetic code in two manners: having more than one tRNA (with a specific anti-codon) for a particular amino acid; and 'wobble' base-pairing, i.e. permitting non-standard base-pairing at the 3rd anti-codon position.
Source: Rfam by way of RNAcentral
GGCCUCGUAGCUCAGCUGAUAGAGCGGCGUCCAUGCGUGGGUUCGAACCCCACCGGGGCUA